UUGACCUCGGAUCAGGUAGGAUUACCCGCUGAACUUAAGCAUAUCAAUAAGCGGAGGAAAAGAAACCAACAGGGAUUGCCCCAGUAACGGCGAGUGAAGCGGCAACAGCUCAGAUUUGGAAUCUGGCCUUCGGGUCCGAGUUGUAAUCUGGAGAGGAUGCUUCUGGCGCGGUGCCUUCCGAGUUCCCUGGAACGGGACGCCGGAGAGGGUGAGAGCCCCGUACGGUUGGACACCUAGCCUUUGUGAAGCUCCUUCGACGAGUCGAGUAGUUUGGGAAUGCUGCUCAAAAUGGGAGGUAAAUUUCUUCUAAAGCUAAAUAUUGGCCAGAGACCGAUAGCGCACAAGUAGAGUGAUCGAAAGAUGAAAAGCACUUUGAAAAGAGAGUUAAAAAGUACGUGAAAUUGUUGAAAGGGAAGCGCCUGUGGCCAGACUUGCGCCGCACGGACCAUCCAGCGUUCUCGCUGGUGCACUCCGCGCGGCGCAGGCCAGCAUCGGUUUUCCUAGGGGGAUAAAGGUCGCGGGAACGUAGCUCCUCCGGGAGUGUUAUAGCCCGUGGCGUCAUGCCCCUGGGGGGACCGAGGACCGCGCUUCGGCAAGGAUG
Molecule: ribosomal RNA, 601 nt
Filed under: Grosmannia chlamydata
Lineage: Eukaryota; Fungi; Ascomycota; Sordariomycetes; Ophiostomatales; Ophiostomataceae
Description: partial 28S ribosomal RNA
Rfam family: Eukaryotic large subunit ribosomal RNA
Source: RNAcentral